RNAcentral lists this long non-coding RNA (578 nucleotides) under Ananas comosus (pineapple). RNAcentral describes it as "long non-coding RNA (ACOM_LNC042537)". The record is from RNAcentral. Lineage: Eukaryota; Viridiplantae; Streptophyta; Magnoliopsida; Poales; Bromeliaceae.
UAAAAUUAGACACGCCAUUAAUUUUAAAAACCUAAACCAUUCACCAACUCUGGUAUAUACAAAUCUUAUUUACAAAGUAGCAUUUGGUUCGGGAACAAAGGAGGGAAUAAGCCCUUGUUUCCUUUUUUGUUUUCAAACGCAGCGUUUGGUACCUGAGAAUAGUAGUUUUCGAAUUCCUAGAACUAGUUGGUAUAAGGCUGGAACUGUUGUUCUACCUUUUUCCCGGAACAAGGUUGUUCCCGGAUGAGAACAAGGUUAAUUAAAGUAUAAAUUUAAUUUUAAUGACAGUAAAUUAUUAAUUAAUCUAAUUAAUAUAUUUAAAUCAUUAUCUAUUGCUUAAAUAAUAAAAUAAUUAAUUAUUUAUUUAUUUAUUUAUAAUUAAUUAUUUAUAAGUAGAUAAUAAUAAUUAUUAAUUUAUUAUUUAUUAAUAAAUAUUAAUAAUUAUUAUUCUUAAUAAAUAGAUAAUCGAUAUUAUUAUUAAUUUAUUAUUUAUAAUUAAUUAUUAAUAAUUAGAUAAUAAUUAUUAUUAAUUUAUUAAUAAUUAAUUAUUAAUAAUGAUUAAUAAUUAUUAUUUAUUA